This 1241-nucleotide ribosomal RNA is filed under the name metagenome. Its description in RNAcentral is "bacterial LSU rRNA". It matches the Rfam family "Bacterial large subunit ribosomal RNA", at positions 1564 to 2815 of the family's 2925-position model. The record is from RNAcentral.
UGAGUACGAGAUGCUACGGCAUCGAAGCAGUCUAUGUCAUACUUCCAAGAAAAGCUUGCACUGUCAGAAACAGAUAAUGCCUGUACCAUAACCGACACAGGUGGGUAGGUAGAGUAUACUAAGGGGCGCGAGAUAACUCUCUCUAAGGAACUCGGCAAAAUGACUCCGUAACUUCGGGAGAAGGAGUGCCUUAUUUUUAAGGUUGCAAUAACAAGAUCCAAGCAACUGUUUACCAAAAACACAGGUCUCCGCUAAGUCGUAAGACGAUGUAUGGGGGCUGACGCCUGCCCAGUGCCAGAAGGUUAAAGAAGUCGGUUAGCAUUCGCGAAGCUGGUAACUGAAGCCCUGGUGAACGGCGGCCGUAACAAUAACGGUCCUAAGGUAGCGAAAUUCCUUGUCGGGUAAGUUCCGACCCGCACGAAAGGCGUAAUGAUUUGGAUACUGUCUCGGAGAGGGGCUCGGUGAAAUAGACUUGUCUGUGAAGAUGCGGACUACCUGCACCUGGACAGAAAGACCCUAUGAAGCUUUACUGUAACUUGAGAUUGAAAUUGGACUUUAUUUGCGCAGUAUAGGUGGGAGGCGUUGAAAAUAUUCUUGCGGGAAUAUUGGAGCCAUCAGUGAGAUACCACUCUUGUAAUGUUAGAUUUCUAACUUUAUAUCAUUAUCUGGUUAAAGAACAGUUUCAGGCGGGCAGUUUGACUGGGGCGGUCGCCUCCCAAAUGGUAACGGAGGCGCACAAAGGUUUCCUCUGAACGGGUAGAAAUCGUAUCUAGAGUGUAAAGGCAUAAGGAAGCUUGACUGUGAGACCUACAAGUCGAGCAGGGACGAAAGUCGGUCUUAGUAAUCUGACGGUGCUGAGUGGAAAGGCCGUCACUCAACGGAUAAAAGUUACUCUAGGAUAACAGGCUGAUCUCCCCCAAGAGUUCACAUCGACGGGAAGGUUUGGCACCUCGAUGUCGGCUCAUCGCAUCCUGGGGCGGUAGUACGUCCCAAGGGUUGGGCUGUUCGCCCAUGAAAGCGGUACGCGAGUUGGGUUCAGAACGUCGUGAGACAGUUCGGUCCAUAUCCGGUGUAGGCGUUAGAAUAUUGAGAGGAGCCUUCUUUAGUACGAGAGGACCGAGAAGGACAUACCUCUGGUGUACCAGUUAUCGUGCCAACGGUAAACGCUGGGUAGCUAUGUAUGGAGUGGAUAACCGCUGAAAGCAUCUAAGUGGGAAGCCCACCUCAAGAUAAGUAUUCUC